CCAAUUCCCUUCCAGUGCGGCCACGGCGGGGCCCUUCGCAUCCCUCGGCGCCUCCAACCCCGCGCCGCCCUGGCUCAGGCGGGCGCCCCUCCUGCGCCAGCCCCACCACUCACCGCGCGCUCGUCGCCCGCGCCCGCCGAGCCCUGCGUGUGCAUGGUGCCGCACCCGAAGCUUCUCGGCCAGCGUCUUCCACUGACACCCCUGCCCAGGCGUCCCUGGGCCGCAGUUUGCCACUGUCAGUGGGGUCAGGAGCAGCCUGAAGGGAUGAUCACCUGAGAGGUGCCUGGUGAAACCUGCCCAUUCAUCUCAGGCCCGUGGAAACCAGGGUGGUGUUUAUUCUGCCUGGAACAUCCCAACCAUUGUCUGCUUUGACUAAAAGACUGCAGUGUGAUUCCUCAGUGAAGCUAUCCCUGAGUCCCCCAAACAGUGGGACAACUCUGUGGAAGGCAGUGUGCUUGGACUUCAGAGUCAGACCUGGAUCCAAAUCCCUGCUCUGCAGCAUGACCUUGGCCAAGUCCUGCAGCCUGCAUUUGCCUCAUUCCUGCAGAACAGGAGGUGGCAACAGCUCUCC
Cynocephalus volans (Philippine flying lemur) is the source of this 571-nucleotide long non-coding RNA. RefSeq lists it as uncharacterized. The transcript has 3 exons. Lineage: Eukaryota; Metazoa; Chordata; Mammalia; Dermoptera; Cynocephalidae. The record is from RefSeq and is a predicted model, not a curated record.